This 1129-nucleotide ribosomal RNA is filed under the name Levilactobacillus brevis. Its description in RNAcentral is "bacterial SSU rRNA". It matches the Rfam family "Bacterial small subunit ribosomal RNA", at positions 97 to 1210 of the family's 1533-position model. Lineage: Bacteria; Bacillati; Bacillota; Bacilli; Lactobacillales; Lactobacillaceae. The record is from RNAcentral.
GGNGAANUGGUGAGUUAACACGUGGGGAAUUCUGCCCAGAAGCAGGGGAUAACACUUGGNAACAGGUGCUAAUACCGUAUAACAACAAAAUCCGCAUGGAUUUUGUUUGAAAGGUGGCUUNGGCUAUCACUUCUGGAUGAUCCCGCGGNGUNUUAGUUAGUUGGUGAGGUAAAGGCCCACCAAGACGAUGAUACGUAGCCGACCUGAGAGGGUAAUCGGCCACAUUGGGACUGAGACACGGCCCAAACUCCUACGGGAGGCAGCAGUAGGGAAUCUUCCACAAUGGACGAAAGUCUGAUGGAGCAAUGCCGCGUGAGUGAAGAAGGGUUUCGGCUCGUAAAACUCUGUUGUUAAAGAAGAACACCUUUGAGAGUAACUGUUCAAGGGUUGACGGUAUUUAACCAGAAAGCCACGGCUAACUACGUGCCAGCAGCCGCGGUAAUACGUAGGUGGCAAGCGUUGUCCGGAUUUAUUGGGCGUAAAGCGAGCGCAGGCGGUUUUUUAAGUCUGAUGUGAAAGCCUUCGGCUUAACCGGAGAAGUGCAUCGGAAACUGGGAGACUUGAGUGCAGAAGAGGACAGUGGAACUCCAUGUGUAGCGGUGGAAUGCGUAGAUAUAUGGAAGAACACCAGUGGCGAAGGCGGCUGUCUAGUCUGUAACUGACGCUGAGGCUCGAAAGCAUGGGUAGCGAACAGGAUUAGAUACCCUGGUAGUCCAUGCCGUAAACGAUGAGUGCUAAGUGUUGGAGGGUUUCCGCCCUUCAGUGCUGCAGCUAACGCAUUAAGCACUCCGCCUGGGGAGUACGACCGCAAGGUUGAAACUCAAAGGAAUUGACGGGGGCCCGCACAAGCGGUGGAGCAUGUGGUUUAAUUCGAAGCUACGCGAAGAACCUUACCAGGUCUUGACAUCUUCUGCCAAUCUUAGAGAUAAGACGUUCCCUUCGGGGACAGAAUGACAGGUGGUGCAUGGUUGUCGUCAGCUCGUGUCGUGAGAUGUUGGGUUAAGUCCCGCAACNAGCGCAACCCUUAUUAUCANUUGCCAGCAUUCAGUUGGGCACUCUGGUGAGACUGCCGGUGACAAACCGGAGANAAGGUGGGGAUGACGUCAAAUCAUCAUGCCCCUUAUGACCU